AUGCAUAAAUGUACACCGCCUCUCCCACCGUCUGCGCUUAACCCUCUCCCACGCACACAACCACCCUCAUCAUGCUCCAGCCAUCCCCAAAUCAUGAGCAGUCGAACCUCCGCACACCAGCUUUUCGCGCCGCCUCACGUUCUCUUCUUGUAUCUUUAUUCAAGGAGUUAUUUGGUUUUUGUGUUUAGAGAAGAGGAAAUCAAGGAAGGAAGAGACUUAAAAGAGAGAAGAUUUGAGCAAUUUUCUAUCUCUAUGAACAGAAGGUUUUCACUCAUGGGAAUUGAUCUAUCUCUCUCUAUCUCUCUCUU
This is a non-coding RNA of Vicia faba (fava bean), 308 nucleotides long. Lineage: Eukaryota; Viridiplantae; Streptophyta; Magnoliopsida; Fabales; Fabaceae. The record is from the annotation of a GenBank genome assembly.